RNAcentral lists this long non-coding RNA (2451 nucleotides) under Glycine max (soybean). Its description in RNAcentral is "long non-coding RNA (GMAX_LNC004220)". The record is from RNAcentral. Lineage: Eukaryota; Viridiplantae; Streptophyta; Magnoliopsida; Fabales; Fabaceae.
UUCAAAGCAACAAGCACUAAUGUUUCCAAAACAAUCACAACCUUCAGAAGGCAACAAACCCAAUACCCUUUGAACUGCUUCAAUGGAGGCAUGACUUAUACCUGCCCAAAGGAUUAUUACCCUACAAAGUUGGAGCAAGACCAAGAUUCAUCAACAGCAUCAACAUGUCCAGAGUACUUCAAAUGGAUCCAUGAAGAUCUAAAACCAUGGAAGAGAACAGGAAUCACUAGGGAAAUGAUGGAGAGGGGAAGAAAUGUUUCAUACUUUAGGCUUGUGAUUAAACAAGGAAAAGCUUAUGCAGAAAUGUAUGCGGAUUCAUAUGAGACAAGGGAUGUGUUCACAAUAUGGGGAAUUCUACAACUUCUAAGGUUGUACCCUGGAAAUGUACCUGAUUUGGAGCUAUUAUUUGAGACUGGGGAUAAGCCUGUGGUGGGUAAAGAACACUUCCAAGGAACACCACCACCUAUUUUCCAUUAUUGCGGGCAUAAAAAUGCAUAUGACAUUGUCUUUCCUGAUUGGAGCUUCUGGGGUUGGUAAAGUUUCUACAUUGAAUUACUAGUAGUUUCAAUUGAUGUUGUUAUGAUUCUCAAGUUAAUUUAGACCAAAACUUCUAUUUUUAUCUGCUUUUCUUUCAAUGGCGUGUACCAUUUCGCUCUUAUGGUCCUAAUCAAUUUUCACACUACACAUUUUAACUUACAUAAAUGAAUUAAUAACUUGUUGUGUAAGAUUGACUGAUCAUGUGGUACCUGACCAUACAAUAAUUUCUCUCAUGUUAUAAGAGAAAACAACUUUCUUGCGCAGAGAAUGAACUAAUUCUUCAUAAAUUGGAGAUGCUUGUCUCUUAAAUAGGAUUUGGGUACUUCAAGAGAUUAAUAUUUACCUUGGAUUUACACGAAAAUUGACAACUUAAAUUUUCUAUAUUCCUAAUUCUUAUGCAUUACUUAGGGCUGAGCUUGCAAUAAAGCCAUGGGAGGCAUUACUACAAAACAUAGAUGAAGGCAACAAGAAGAUCAAAUGGAAGGAUAGAUUACCCUAUGCUUUUUGGAAGGGCAACACAUGGGUGUCCCACAAAAGGAAUGAUCUCACCAAGUGCAACGCUUCAGACCAACAUGAUUCAUACGCUCAAAUACAUCCUCUGCUAAAUGUGUAAUGUUAAAUGAAAAUAUUGCCUAUAGUAUGUGAAAACCUUUGAGAUGCAUAUAAUGAAUCGUUAAUUUUUAGCACUGGGAUAAGGAAAUUGCACAAGGGUUCCAGAACACAAAGCUAGAAGACCAAUAUAUGCACAGGUAAGGAACUAUCCAAUAAAACUUUUAAGCCCUUUCUAAGUUUCUAUAACUUGGUAUUGUGAAUUUCUGCUUUGUUAUCUUUAGGUAAGUUAAUCACUAGAUUUUCUUGUGUCACUUUUCUUAUGAAAGGUACAAAAUUUAUGUGGAAGGGAUAGCAUGGUCUGUGAGUGAAAAGUAUAUAUUAGCAUGAGACUCCAUGACCUUGUUCGUAGAGCCUAUAUACUAUGAUUUCUUUACAAGAAGCUUGGUACCUAGGCAGCACUACUGGCCCAUUAGCAGUAACAACCAAAGCAUGUGCAAUGAUAUUAAGUAUGUUGUUGAAUGGGGUAAUGCCAAUCCAGACAAGGUAAAUAUAUGGACAAAAUUUAGAUACAAUUUCUUAAAUAUUUUUUGGAAUUGUUAUCCAAUCAGAAUUAGAAUGUUUUUGCAUAAUAAUAAAGGUUAGCAUUAAAAAUCCGCAUAUUGUACUUGGACAAAACUCCAAUUUUGAUUUUAGAGAAUAUUACAAAAUGAAAAAAAAACAUGAAAAAUGAUUACAUGGUCAAAUACCACCAUGACCUUACUAAUCUGUGUAAACAUAUAUAAUUGAGUUUUAUUAAUUCUUUCUCAUAAAGUAAAAAGCUCAACUACGUGUUAGGUAGAGAUUAAUUAAGACUAUGGACACAAAAAUAUCUUGGAUUAUGUAAUGAUUUUUUCUAAAGAACACAAAGCAAUAUGAGUUUUACUUUAAUGCAUCUCUGUAUUAAUUUCUUCCGCCAUUUGCUUAUGUAAAAUGUCAAUUGAGCAAAAUAAACCCUGCCCAUGGAUCAAUAAUGAAAUCAAUCCUAAAGGACCCCAUUUAUAUAUUUUGUAACUUUUCAAUUAAUUGCAACUUAGAUGGUACUUUUUAUGUCUACACCAGGCUGAAGCGAUUGGAAAAGCAGGGACAAAUUUCAUUGAAGAAAACCUAAAGAUGAAGUUUGUGUAUGAUUACAUGUUUCAUCUAUUGACUGAAUAUGCAAGGCUCUUGAGUUUUGAACCAACCAUACCUGCAGGAGCUGUUGAGAUUUGUUCUGAAAAUUUUGCCUGUCCUAAGAAUGGCCUUGGAUGGAGUAUAUGGUUGAGUCCAUGGUCAAGUCACCAAGUGAUACACAUCCAUGGAUAAUGGCUUCCCCUUAUGAUGAAA